UAUAUAUAUAUAUAUAUGGGAAUGGAUCCUAUCAGCCCACGGGCGAACUGCUACAGUGUCAACCAACGGUCCAGAUUAAAUCUGGGCCGAUCUGAGGUCGUGACCAUUGGAUCGGACCCAUAUUCAAUUUGGGCCUUUGGCUGACACUGUAGUAGUCAACCCGUGGGCAAACAGGCUUCUUUCCUUCUAUAUAUAUAUAUA
This 201-nucleotide microRNA precursor is filed under the name Amborella trichopoda. RNAcentral describes it as "miR8559 stem-loop (atr-MIR8559)". The record is from miRBase by way of RNAcentral. Lineage: Eukaryota; Viridiplantae; Streptophyta; Magnoliopsida; Amborellales; Amborellaceae.